This 253-nucleotide ribosomal RNA is filed under the name uncultured bacterium. RNAcentral's name for it is "partial 16S ribosomal RNA". It matches the Rfam family "Bacterial small subunit ribosomal RNA", at positions 524 to 776 of the family's 1533-position model. The record is from RNAcentral.
UACGUAGGGUGCAAGCGUUAAUCGGAAUUACUGGGCGUAAAGCGUGCGCAGGCGGUUAUGCAAGACAGAUGUGAAAUCCCCGGGCUUAACCUGGGAACUGCAUUUGUGACUGCAUAGCUAGAGUACGGUAGAGGGGGAUGGAAUUCCGCGUGUAGCAGUGAAAUGCGUAGAUAUGCGGAGGAACACCGAUGGCGAAGGCAGUCCCCUGGACCUGUACUGACGCUCAUGCACGAAAGCGUGGGGAGCAAACAGG